This 408-nucleotide ribosomal RNA is filed under the name uncultured bacterium. RNAcentral's name for it is "bacterial SSU rRNA". It matches the Rfam family "Bacterial small subunit ribosomal RNA", at positions 976 to 1381 of the family's 1533-position model. The record is from RNAcentral.
UGGUCUUGACAUAGAAAGAACUUUCCAGAGAUGGAUUGGUGCCUGCUUGCAGGAGCUUUCAUACAGGUGCUGCACGGCUGUCGUCAGCUCGUGUCGUGAGAUGUUGGGUUAAGUCCCGCAACGAGCGCAACCCUCGUCGUUAGUUGCUAACAGUUCGGCUGAGAACUCUAACGAGACUGCCUACGCAAGUAGGAGGAAGGUGAGGACGACGUCAAGUCAUCAUGGCCCUUACGACCAGGGCUACACACGUGCUACAAUGGGUUAUACAAAGAGCAGCAAUACGGUGACGUGGAGCGAAUCUCAAAAAUGCCUCCCAGUUCGGAUUGUAGUCUGCAACUCGACUACAUGAAGUUGGAAUCGCUAGUAAUCGUAGAUCAGCUAUGCUACGGUGAAUACGUUCCCGGGUCU